Molecule: long non-coding RNA, 1211 nt
Filed under: Homo sapiens (human)
Lineage: Eukaryota; Metazoa; Chordata; Mammalia; Primates; Hominidae
Description: HSALNT0043387
Source: RNAcentral
CUGGAAACCGCGGCACUGCUUUGGGAGGAGGCUCAAUACGUCAGUCCCCCUUGAGCUCCUCCUCGCCCUUCUCCAACCGGCCUCCCCUGCCGCCUACCCCCAGCAGGGCCUUGGAUGACAAACCCCCUCCACCACCUCCUCCAGUGGGCAACAGGCCCUCCAUCCACAGGGAAGCGGUUCCCCCUCCUCCUCCUCAGAACAACAAGCCUCCAGUGCCUUCCACUCCGCGGCCUUCGGCCUCCUCACAGGCCCCACCUCCGCCGCCACCUCCCAGCAGGCCCGGGCCGCCUCCUCUGCCUCCAAGUUCCAGCGGCAAUGACGAAACCCCAAGACUCCCACAGCGGAAUCUGUCCCUCAGUUCGUCCACGCCCCCGUUACCUUCGCCAGGACGUUCAGGUCCUCUUCCUCCCCCGCCCAGUGAGAGACCCCCACCUCCAGUGAGGGACCCGCCAGGCCGAUCAGGCCCCCUCCCACCACCUCCUCCAGUAAGCAGAAACGGCAGCACAUCUCGGGCCCUGCCUGCUACCCCUCAGUUGCCAUCCAGGAGUGGAGUAGACAGUCCCAGGAGUGGACCCAGGCCUCCCCUUCCUCCUGAUAGGCCCAGUGCUGGGGCACCUCCCCCACCUCCACCAUCAACAUCUAUUAGAAAUGGCUUCCAAGACUCUCCAUGUGAAGAUGAGUGGGAAAGCAGAUUCUACUUCCAUCCGAUUUCCGAUUUGCCACCUCCAGAGCCAUAUGUACAAACGACCAAAAGUUAUCCCAGCAAACUGGCAAGAAACGAAAGCCGGAGUGGAUCCAACCGAAGAGAAAGGGGUGCUCCACCACUCCCUCCCAUCCCGAGGUGAUCUUUGCCUGCUCUUCUCUACCCAAGCUCAAGAGCUGCUUCUGUUGCUAUCUAAGAACUGCAUACCCUCCUCCCUGCUUCUUCCCUUGUGCCUCAUGUAUGGGCAGGAGGAAAGGUGGGAGGGGGAGUGGGAAUAUGCGUGUGUGGGUGGGAAUCGGUAAGAAAUGCACCUAGCUUUUCAUAUUGUGUUUAUUCUCCAGGCUAUUGCUUGCUUCAGCUGCAGCCUGCCUGUGCUGGCUGCUGGGGUCGAUAGGCUUUUGUCGUAAUAGGCAGAGAUGACUUGCAUCCCAGCUUUCCACCAACCAAAUUCAAACAUUCACUGCUUAUUUGUUACAGACUGUAAUUAUUAAAGUCCCUGAGAGCUGUU